AUGACGCAAAAUAGGGCUAAGUGGACAGCAAGGUAUGAGAAAGGUCUCGUGGAGGCAAGGUUUACCAAGGAUCAGGUUCAAGAUAAGGAAGCUCAGUUGAAAAAGCACUACAAAAAUAUCAAGUUGAUAGUCAACCGCUCUGGAAUAUCAUGGAAUGAUAUUGCAUGUGUGAUCAACACCACGCCUGAAAAAUGGGAAGAGAUCAUUGCAGAGGACCCAAAGCUCAAAAUGUAUGAAGGAAAGAGCUUUCCAUUGUACGAGGCAUUGGGUGUGCUCUAUGAAGGACACAUUGCGCAAGGAAGACACUGCCUCACAUCAAGGAAGCCUCCGAUUGGCACAAAAACAGGUAGCAACUUUGGAGCGAAGGAUAAGAUGGUUGCAAGCACUAGCAAGAAAAAUACAAGACAUGGAAGAGAUGACAACGUAAGGACUUCUUCAAUAAUUGACAUCAAUGAUACUCCUACAUUAGAUGAUGUGGAUGAAAGAGAGAACACUGUCAAUGACGAGGAAGAAUUAGCCAGUGAAGAUGCUGAUGGCGAUCAACCACAAAUAAGUGAAUCAAGUGCAAAAGGAAAAAAACUAAGAAACAAAAAGAAAGAUCAAGCUUCCAAGAAGGAAAAAGUGUCACAGCAAGGAAAACAACCCUCAAUUGCAGAAUGCUUGCAGGUCUUGAAUGACAUGGAUGAUGUUCCCGACGAGGUCAAAAUCUUUGCCUCUGAUGUUUUCAAGGAUGCAGCAAAUCGUGAGAUUUUCCUGGGUUACAACUCAAGAUUGCGGGGUAUGUGGCUAAAGAAGGAAGUCGACAAGAUUAGUCCUCAGCCUCCUCCUUUUACUUUAAACUUGAGUGACAUGCUAUGGCUACCUUGCACCAUCUGGCUCCCCUUGGUCGCCCUUUCGCAUGAUUCUGUGGUUACUCAGUCCAUGAAGCAGUCAUAA
RNAcentral lists this ribosomal RNA (936 nucleotides) under Triticum aestivum (bread wheat). RNAcentral describes it as "partial small subunit ribosomal RNA". The record is from RNAcentral. Lineage: Eukaryota; Viridiplantae; Streptophyta; Magnoliopsida; Poales; Poaceae.